Molecule: long non-coding RNA, 157 nt
Organism: Telopea speciosissima
Lineage: Eukaryota; Viridiplantae; Streptophyta; Magnoliopsida; Proteales; Proteaceae
Exons: 3
Source: RefSeq, a predicted model, not a curated record
CUGCAUGAAAGAGAGAGAUUUUUGGAUAGGUAUGAAGAAGCGCAAGGUUCACCCAUCACCACCCGUCGUCUCCGAGCAUCUUGCUUUCCUUCCGGCAACACUUCUGACAUUGACGGUAGCACUUUCUCCAGAAGAAAAGGAAGUAUUGGCGUAUCUC